GAUGAACGCUGGCGGCGUGCCUAAUACAUGCAAGUCGAGCGAACAGACGAGGAGCUUGCUCCUCUGACGUUAGCGACGGACGGGUGAGUAACACGUGGAUAACCUACCUAUAAGACUGGGAUAACUUCGGGAAACCGGAGCUAAUACCGGAUAACAUGUUGAACCGCAUGGUUUAACAGUGAAAGACGGUCUUGCUGUCACUUAUAGAUGGAUCCGCGCCGCAUUAGCUAGUUGGUAAGGUAACGGCUUACCAAGGCAACGAUGCGUAGCCGACCUGAGAGGGUGAUCGGCCACACUGGAACUGAGACACGGUCCAGACUCCUACGGGAGGCAGCAGUAGGGAAUCUUCCGCAAUGGGCGAAAGCCUGACGGAGCAACGCCGCGUGAGUGAAGAAGGUCUUCGGAUCGUAAAACUCUGUUAUUAGGGAAGAACAAAUGUGUAAGUAACUAUGCACGUCUUGACGGUACCUAAUCAGAAAGCCACGGCUAACUACGUG
RNAcentral lists this ribosomal RNA (497 nucleotides) under uncultured bacterium. Its description in RNAcentral is "partial 16S ribosomal RNA". It matches the Rfam family "Bacterial small subunit ribosomal RNA", at positions 28 to 507 of the family's 1533-position model. The record is from RNAcentral.